CAACCUCAACUCAUAUGGGACUACCCCCGGAAUUUAAGCAUAUUAAUUAGGGGAGGAAAAGAAACUAACCAGGAUUUUCUUAGUAGCGGCGAGCGAAAAGAAAUCAGUUCAGCACUAAGUCACUUUGUCUAUAUGGCAAACGUGAGAUGCAGUGUAUGGAGCGUCAAUAUUCUAGUAUGAGAAAUUAACGAUUUAAGUCCUUCUUAAAUGAGGCCAUUUACCCAUAGAGGGUGCCAGGCCCGUAUAACGUUAAUGAUUACUAGAUGAUGUUUCCAAAGAGUCGUGUUGCUUGAUAGUGCAGCACUAAGUGGGUGGUAAAACUCCAUCUAAAACUAAAUAUCACCAUGAGACCGAUAGUAAACAGGUACCGUGAGGAAAGUUGAAAAGAACUCUGAUUAGACAGUUAAACAGUACGUGAAACUGCUUUAGAAGGUUAAGCCCGAU
Molecule: non-coding RNA, 444 nt
Filed under: Drosophila persimilis
Lineage: Eukaryota; Metazoa; Arthropoda; Insecta; Diptera; Drosophilidae
Description: Eukaryotic large subunit ribosomal RNA
Rfam family: Eukaryotic large subunit ribosomal RNA
Source: Rfam by way of RNAcentral